Long non-coding RNA from Austrofundulus limnaeus, 1778 nucleotides. RefSeq lists it as uncharacterized. The record is from RefSeq and is a predicted model, not a curated record. The transcript has 3 exons. Lineage: Eukaryota; Metazoa; Chordata; Actinopteri; Cyprinodontiformes; Rivulidae.
ACAUAUUAAUAAAGCAUUAUUAAAUGCUUAUUAAUAGUUUUUAUUUAGAAGUUUAAUUCUGAUGAACUGAUUUGUUCAUCUUAAUAAACUGUUUAWAGCUCAUGAAUAACAUUAUUAAAGCAGUAAUAAAUGCUUUAAAAAUGUCUAAUUCAAACUGAAUUAUUUUAUUAACAACUGAGGACUAGUUUUCAGAGUUUUUCAGAGUUUUUCAGGUUCUUCCAGAUGUUUGUUGCAGGGCAGCAGCUGGCAGGAGGUGGAUUUUGGGUGUUUCAGGGUAAAUUUCUGCUGACAUGUUUUUAAACAUCAAACCCGGCUGCCUCUGGUCUCCUGGGGGUCCAGGUGGUCUUGGACAGCUCUAACAGUCUAAUAAAACCCCUGACGUGGACUGAUCUGUCACGAUUGUCUUUUUUGAUCAGGCUCGGUCCAGUCCGGUCCAGAGAACCUGAAACAGGUCUAAUGUAAGAAAAGCAAAGUGAUGAAAGCAGCAGACAGUCUGAGCUGAAGGUGAUGAAGAGGAUGAAGAUGAUGAAGAUGAUGAAGAGGAUGAAGAGGAUGAAGAGCUGUGCACUUAUUGUUGACUCCACCUCCAGUGUGUUUUCUGCCUAAUGCUACUUUGCUUUGUCACUACAACAGUGGGAGGACUGGCUGCAGCUGGACUCUGGGGGUCCACGUCCUGGAAGGAGGUCUCUGAUGUGCUACACAAAGAUCGUCCCCUCUGGACCACACGGGGGGCUGAGAGGUCCUCUGAAGGCUCCAGAUCCAGCCACGGUCCGGUCCAGCGGUCCUCAGGCGUCCUGUUGUUGUCUGCAGGCAGCGACGCCGAUCACAGGGCCUGCAGCGCCCCCUACAGUACCAGAGGGCACCAUCCUGUGGUUCUAGUCCUCCUUCGGUCCGGCCCAGUCCAGUCCAGACCAGUCAGCAGCUUGUUUUUGUUGUCCACGAGCACACACAAACAUAAACACACACACAGACUGUCCUCCAGUCAGACCUCCCUCCCGACACGCGUGGAGGCCGCAGACCAAGAGGAGGAUUGUGGGUCGGAGGAGGUUUGGGGGCGGGGUUACCAGUUCAUCAUGGAGCUUCUGUUCAGGGUCAUGAAGAAGACUUGACUGCUGCCCCCGGACCGGACCGAGGCGAAGAAGACCUGCAGAGGACACACAGUCAGGUCCAGGAUUAGACAGAGUCAGGUCCAGGAUCAGGCUGAGUCAGGUCCAGGAUCAGGCUGAGUCAGGUCCAGGAUUAGAGAGAGUCAGGUCCAGGAUCAGACUGAGUCAGGUCCAGGAUCAGACUGAGUCAGGUCCAGGAUUAGAGAAUCAGGUCCAGGAUCAGGGUGAGUCAGGUCCAGGAUCAAACAGAGUCAGGUCCAGGAUCAGACUGAGUCAGGUCCAGGAUUAGAGAAUCAGGUCCAGGAUCAGGGUGAGUCAGGUCCAGGAUCAGUCUGAGUCAGGUCCAGGAUCAAACAGAGUCAGGUCCAGGAUCAGGCUGAGUCAGGUCGAGGAUUAGAGAGAGUCAGGUCCAGGAUCAGACUGUCAGGUCCAGGAUUAGAGAGAGUCAGGUCCAGGAUCAGGCUGAGUCAGGUCCAGGAUCAGACUGAGUCAGGUCCAGGAUUAGAGAGUCAGGUCCAGGAUCAGGCUGAGUCAGGUCCAGGGUUAGAGAGAGUCAGGUCCAGGAUCAGGCUGAGUCAGGUCCAGGCUCAGGCUGAGUCAGGUCCAGGAUCAGACUGAGUUAGGUCCAGGAUCUGACUGGGUCAGGUCCAGGAUCAAAUAGAGUCAGGUCCA